CAUAGCGACUAUCGUGGCAUAUCAAUAAGCGGAGGAAAAGAAACUAACAAGGAUUCCCCUAGUAACGGCGAGUGAAGCGGGAAGAGCUCAAAUUUGAAAUCUUAAAGGGUUUCCCUUGACGAAUUGUAGUUUAAAGAAGUGUUUUCUGUUGGAGUUUUCGGUAAAAGUUCUUUGGAAUAGGACAUCAUAGAGGGUGAGAAUCCCGUAUUUGACCGUUACUUUCCAGCUGUGUGAUACACUUUCAAAGAGUCGGAUUGUUUGGGAGUGCAGUCCAAAAUGGGUGGUAAAUUUCAUCUAAAGCUAAAUAUUGGCGAGAGACCGAUAGCGAACAAGUACCGUGAGGGAAAGAUGAAAAGAACCUUGAAAAGAGAGUUAAACAGUACGUGAAAUUGUCAAAAGGGAAGCGUUUGACACCAGUGUUGUUUAGUUCGAAAAUCAAUUCAAUAAUUUUUGAUUUUGAGUAGUAUUGACUUCAUCAGCUUGCUGCUUUCUUUUCGGAAAUUAUUGAAUGCACUUUUCAGUUAACAAGUCAACAUCAAUUUCUUUUGUUGUAAAAGGGUAAGAGGAAGGUGGCUUACGCUUCGGCGUAAGUGUUUAUAGCCUUUUACCUCUGCAAUCGGAGAGAUUGAGGACAGCAGCGUAGACUCCUUCGGGGGUUAGAUACACUUGUGCUAAGCUAUAGCCUUGUAUAGACAACUUGUUGACUAUGCUCAGUCAUGUAGCUUACUCGCUUAUGCUAUUUUACCUACGCUUAGGAUGUUGAUAGUCACAGCGUGUAC
This 779-nucleotide ribosomal RNA is filed under the name uncultured Neocallimastigales. RNAcentral describes it as "partial large subunit ribosomal RNA". It matches the Rfam family "Eukaryotic large subunit ribosomal RNA", at positions 22 to 631 of the family's 3401-position model. The record is from RNAcentral. Lineage: Eukaryota; Fungi; Neocallimastigomycota; Neocallimastigomycetes; Neocallimastigales.